This 1358-nucleotide ribosomal RNA is filed under the name Stenamma muralla. RNAcentral describes it as "16S ribosomal RNA". The record is from RNAcentral. Lineage: Eukaryota; Metazoa; Arthropoda; Insecta; Hymenoptera; Formicidae.
AAUUGUUAACUAGUUUUAUUUGUCAAAAAUUUAUUAAUAUUUAAAAUUAUAAUAAUAAUUAUGGUUAUUUAAUUAAAUUAAAUUAAUUAAGUUAGGUUAUAAAGGGAGUAAUGUAAAUGAAAAUUACUGAAAUAUAAAAAAAAAAUUUUAAAUUAUUGUACUUUUUGUAUCAAGGGUUAUUAAAUUAUAUUUUUAUUAUUUAAAAUGUCUCGAAUUUAAAAGAGCGAAUAAGUUAUGAUAGUUAAUGUUUAAUAAUUAUUAUUAAUAAUUUAUUAGUGAAGAAAUUUUAGUCAAUUUUAAAGAUAUCUAGUUUUUUUUGAUUUAAUUUAAUUUGGUCUUGAUAAACAAAAAUAGUUUAUUUAUAUAUAAAAAUUUUUUUAUUAAGAUAAUAAUUUAUGGGAUUAACUAUAGAUUUUAUUAAAAUUAAGAAUAAUUUUUAUUAAAAAUUAUAUUUAUAGAAUUUGAAUUUAAUAGAAAAAAUUUAAUAAUUUAUUAUAAUGAUUGAGUUUAAAAUUUAUGAGAUUAUAAAGGAUAAAAUAUUUAACUAUGUAGAAAAAGUAAUUAGAAUUUUUUAAAAUUAAAGUAUAAUGAUAAUAUUAGUAUAAAAUGAAUUAAUAGAUAAAGUAUUGGAUGGGUGUAUAUUAAUUUAAGGAAUUAGGCAAAUUUUAGUAAGUCCAACUGUUUAGUAAAAACAUAGCCUUAUGAUUAUAAUUUAAGGUUAUUUCUGCCCCCUGAUUUAUUUUAAAUGGCUGCAGUAACUUGACUGUGCUAAGGUAGCAUAAUCGAUUGUUUUUUAAUUGGAAACUGGUAUGAACGGAGAAAUGAGAUUUAAGCUGUCUUAAGUUAAAAAUUAGAAGUUGUUUUUUGAGUAAAAAAACUCAAGUAAGAAUAUGGGACGAGAAGACCCUAUAGAAUUUAAAAUAAAUUUAAAAAAAAAUUAGGUAUACAUUAUUUUUAAACAGAUUAUUUUUAGUUGGGAGGAUUGUUAGAUUUUAUAAACUCUAAUUAAUAUAAUAGUACUAAUUAGUAUAAUUUAGGAUGACAUAUAUGUUUAAAUAAGAAUUAAUUACCUUAGGGAUAACAGCGUAAUAUUUUUGGAUAGAUCAUAUUGAUAAAAAUGGGUGCGACCUCGAUGUUGAAUUAAGAUAAAAAUUAAAUGAAGAAAUUUAAUAUUUAAGUCUGUUCGACUUUUAAAAUCUUACAUGAUUUGAGUUUAGAUCGGCGUGAGCCAGAUCGGUUUCUAUCUAUAUUUAAUUUAAAAAUUUUUGUACGAAAGGACUUUAUUUUUGUAAAAUUUAUAGAAAGAUACAAUUUUAAUAAUAAUUUAUUUAAAUAAUUACUUUGGCAGAUUAGUGUGU